Long non-coding RNA from Ctenopharyngodon idella (grass carp), 423 nucleotides. RefSeq lists it as uncharacterized. The transcript is spliced from 4 exons. Lineage: Eukaryota; Metazoa; Chordata; Actinopteri; Cypriniformes; Xenocyprididae. The record is from RefSeq and is a predicted model, not a curated record.
GAGUAGUGAAACUGAGGGGAAACCCCUGAUCCUAGAGUAUUUAAAUGAGCUCUGAAGGCCUUCGGUCAUAAUCUCACUGACACAGACAAGCACAGUUCAUCAAGAACAAGAAGACAAUGAAGACUAUUGCAGCUUUUGUUCUUCUUGCCUGCCUGAUCGCUGUAGGAGUGAAAGCGCAGGGAAAGUCUUCGAAGGGCAGGUGCUUCUGUGCAGACAAAGGUGCAAACAUGGUUUUAGUGAAAAACAUUGAGAAGGUUGAAAUCUUCCCUCCAAGUCCAUCUUGUCGCAAACAUGAGAUUAUUGUCACUCUGAAGAAUGGUGCAGGAUGGAAAUGCAUGAAUCCAGAGUCAAAAUUCACUCAAAAUAUCAUAAAGGCUCUUGAGAAGAGGAGCCAGCAGUCUGUGCACCACAGUACAACUGUCA